Molecule: long non-coding RNA, 395 nt
Filed under: Fragaria vesca (wild strawberry)
Lineage: Eukaryota; Viridiplantae; Streptophyta; Magnoliopsida; Rosales; Rosaceae
Description: long non-coding RNA (FVES_LNC002448)
Source: RNAcentral
GUUCACGAGGCAUUCUCAUAAUUAGACACUAGAAAACUUGUAAAAGCCUAUGUUUCCAGUACUUAAGUGUUGCCGAAUAAGACGCUGCUGCGUCAAAUUCUUGGUCAUCAGAAGUGCCUGCAUAUACAUCAGAUCAAAUUAAUGUGCUCAAAUUAAUGUGCUGUUAAAAUCUACCGAGUAACCAACAAAUCUCAUAUUGGGUUGAAAAAAAGAAGGCUAAAACAUAUUGAUAACUACUUGUUCUCUAUCCCAAAACUGACCAGUAAACACUCCCAACUCCUCCAUUCCCUAAAUUGCUGUCAUAAUUGAAGUUGUUUGUUGCUGUAAGUUCCUUCCAAGGUAAAGAGCAUCCAUGUUGGCUGCUUUUUUUCUUUUUCUUUUUUUCUUGUUUUUAC